This 774-nucleotide ribosomal RNA is filed under the name uncultured Neocallimastigales. Its description in RNAcentral is "partial large subunit ribosomal RNA". It matches the Rfam family "Eukaryotic large subunit ribosomal RNA", at positions 26 to 611 of the family's 3401-position model. Lineage: Eukaryota; Fungi; Neocallimastigomycota; Neocallimastigomycetes; Neocallimastigales. The record is from RNAcentral.
CGCAUCUGUGCAUGCAGCAUAUCAAUAAGCGGAGGAAAAGAAACUAACAAGGAUUCCCCUAGUAACGGCGAGUGAAGCGGGAAGAGCUCAAAUUUGAAAUCUUAAAGGGUUUCCCUUUACGAAUUGUAGUUUAAAGAAGUGUUUUCUGUUGAGGUUUUGGUAAAAGUUCUUUGGAAUAGGACAUCAUAGAGGGUGAGAAUCCCGUAUUUGACCUUUACUUUCAACUUUGUGAUACACUUUCAAAGAGUCGGAUUGUUUGGGAAUGCAGUCCAAAAUGGGUGGUAAAUUUCAUCUAAAGCUAAAUAUUGGCGAGAGACCGAUAGCGAACAAGUACCGUGAGGGAAAGAUGAAAAGAACUUUGAAAAGAGAGUUAAACAGUACGUGAAAUUGUCAAAAGGGAAGCGUUUGACACCAGUGUUGUUUUUCUGAAAAUCAAUUAAAGAACUGUUUAUGCUAAGCUGUUUAGACUUUAUCAGCUAACUGUUUAGUUUUAGGCUUUUCUUUAAUGCACUUUUCAGUUAACAAGUCAACAUCAAUUUCUUUUGCUGUAAAAAAGCUUGAGGAAGGUGGCUUGAGAUUCGUCUUAAGUGUUUAUAGCCUCUUGCCUAUGCAGUCGGAGAGAUUGAGGUCUGCAGCGUAGAUCCUUCGGGGCUAAAUGCAUUUGUGCUAAGUUAUAGCAUUUUAUAGACAACUUGUUGACUAUGAUUUGUCUUGUAGCUUACUCGCUUAUGUUAUUCUACCUACGCUUAGGAUGUUGAACGCGCACAGAGUCUC